UCGGUGGUGCUUUUUUGUAGUGUUCUGUGCAUUCACCUUGGCCGUGCCCCGUGUGCAACUUUUGAAGGGAAAAGUCGUUUGCAUUAAAAACCCAUUUCGUGGCUUUUCAUUGUUGUUGUUGUUUUUGUUGCUUGUGAUUUGCGUAAGUCCCGCCAGCGCACCGCCAGCUCACCGCUGCCGCCGCCCGACUAUCCAGAAAGCAGCAGAGGGAACACGCACAUAAUUGCCUGCCAUCGUAAUGGCUUCACGUGCCAGCCAAGUGAGUGGUUUUUGGUUGCUCUCUCUC
RNAcentral lists this long non-coding RNA (286 nucleotides) under Drosophila guanche. Lineage: Eukaryota; Metazoa; Arthropoda; Insecta; Diptera; Drosophilidae. The record is from RNAcentral.